AACCGGGGUGCUGGAGCGUAUCCGGCUGAGACGGGAGCUGACGCUGCUUCCGAUACCGUGAACCUGAUCCGGGUAAUGCCGGCGUAGGAAGUUUUC
RNAcentral lists this non-coding RNA (96 nucleotides) under pig gut metagenome. The record is from RNAcentral.